Non-coding RNA from Acanthosepion pharaonis, 110 nucleotides. Lineage: Eukaryota; Metazoa; Mollusca; Cephalopoda; Sepiida; Sepiidae. The record is from the annotation of a GenBank genome assembly.
UACGAUCAUCUCACUUUAAAAUACCAGUUCCCGUACGAUCUCCGAAGUUAAACAACAUGGAGUCUGGUCAGUACUUAGAUGGGUGAAAGCGUGUGAAUAGCAAGUGCUGU